Molecule: non-coding RNA, 46 nt
Filed under: Schistosoma margrebowiei
Lineage: Eukaryota; Metazoa; Platyhelminthes; Trematoda; Strigeidida; Schistosomatidae
Source: RNAcentral
AUCCAUCUGACGAAUGCAAAAUUAGGACGAAACGGGUGUCCUGGAU